CAGAUUAGUUGCAAAACUCCCAACCCUUUGUGAACGAACCUACCAGUUGCCUCGGCGGCGAGCCUUUUAGAAGGCGGACCGCCGGAGGAAUACAAACUCUUUGCAUUAAUGUAUCUACUGAUUACUUAUUCAAUAAGUUA
RNAcentral lists this unclassified non-coding RNA (140 nucleotides) under soil metagenome. Its description in RNAcentral is "partial internal transcribed spacer 1". The record is from RNAcentral.